UACGGAGGGUGCAAGCGUUGUUCGGAAUCAUUGGGCGUAAAGCGCGUGUAGGCGGCCAAAUAAGUUUGGUGUGAAAGCCCGGGGCUUAACCCCGGAAGUGCACUGAAUACUGUUUGGCUAGAGGACGAGAGAGGAAAGUGGAAUUCCUGGUGUAGGGGUGAAAUCCGUAGAUAUCAGGAGGAACAUCGGUGGCGAAGGCGACUUUCUGGCUCGUUUCUGACGCUCAGACGCGAAAGCGUGGGGAGCAAACAGG
Molecule: ribosomal RNA, 253 nt
Filed under: uncultured bacterium
Lineage: Bacteria
Also listed under: 1 other name
Description: partial 16S ribosomal RNA
Rfam family: Bacterial small subunit ribosomal RNA
Source: RNAcentral